Molecule: unclassified non-coding RNA, 240 nt
Filed under: soil metagenome
Description: partial contains 5.8S ribosomal RNA, internal transcribed spacer 2, and large subunit ribosomal RNA
Source: RNAcentral
AAGACUAUAGACCUGCGGAGUACCUGCGGAAGGAUCAUUAUUGAAUAAACAUGAUGGGUUGUAGCUGGCUUCUGGAGGAGCAUGUGCACAUCCAUUGUCUUUAUACAUCCACCUGUGCACCCUCUGUAGUCUUGGGGAAUGGAGUAGUGGUUCACACUCGAUUGGCUUGUCCAUUGGAUUAUGAGGAAUGCCAUAUGUGGCUUUCCUUGAUGGCCAUGAUUCUUCUUUUCCCAAGUCUAU